UCCUACGGGAGGCAGCAGUGGGGAAUAUUGCGCAAUGGGGGGAACCCUGACGCAGCAACGCCGCGUGAAGGAUGAAGGCCUUCGGGUUGUAAACUUAUUUGAUUGGGGAAGAAAUUUGACGGUACCCAAAGAACAAGCCACGGCUAACUACGUGCCAGCAGCCGCGGUAAUACGUAGGUGGCGAGCGUUGUCCGGAAUUACUGGGUGUAAAGGGCGUGUAGGCGGGGGAGCAAGUCAGAUGUGAAAUCCCGGGGCUCAACUCCGGAGUUGCAUCUGAAACUGUUUUUCUUGAGUGCUGGAGAGGAAAGCGGAAUUCCUAGUGUAGCGGUGAAAUGCGUAGAUAUUAGGAGGAACACCAGUGGCGAAGGCGGCUUUCUGGACAGUAACUGACGCUGAGGCGCGAAAGCGUGGGGAGCAAACAGGAUUAGAUACCCUGGUAGUCCACGCCGUAAACGAUGGAUACUAGGUGUAGGAGGUAUCGACCCCUUCUGUGCCGGAGUUAACACAAUAAGUAUCCCACCUGGGGAGUACGGCCGCAAGGCUGAAACUCAAAGGAAUUGACGGGGGCCCGCACAAGCAGUGGAGUAUGUGGUUUAAUUCGAAGCAACGCGAAGAACCUUACCAGGGCUUGACAUCCCUUGACAGUCCUAGAGAUAGGAUAUCCCUUCGGGGCAAGGAGACAGGUGGUGCAUGGUUGUCGUCAGCUCGUGUCGUGAGAUGUUGGGUUAAGUCCCGCAACGAGCGCAACCCCUGUUGUUAGUUGCCAUCAUUAAGUUGGGCACUCUAGCGAGACUGCCGGUGACAAAUCGGAGGAAGGUGGGGACGACGUCAAAUCAUCAUGCCCCUUAUGUCCUGGGCUACACACGUACUACAAUGGCUGUUACAGAGGGAAGCUAAUUCGCGAGGAGGAGCAAAUCCCCAAAGGCAGCCCCAGUUCGGAUUGCAGGCUGAAACUCGCCUGCAUGAAGUAGGAAUUGCUAGUAAUGGCAGGUCAGCAUACUGCCGUGAAUACGUUCCCGGGCCUUGUACACACCGCCCGUCACACCAUGAGAGUCUGCAACACCCGAAGUCAGUAGUCUAACCGCAAGGAGGACGCUGCCGAAGGUGGGGGCCGAUGAUUGGGGGUGAAGUCGUAACAAGGUAGCCA
This 1147-nucleotide ribosomal RNA is filed under the name uncultured bacterium. Its description in RNAcentral is "bacterial SSU rRNA". It matches the Rfam family "Bacterial small subunit ribosomal RNA", at positions 337 to 1502 of the family's 1533-position model. The record is from RNAcentral.